This 253-nucleotide ribosomal RNA is filed under the name uncultured bacterium. RNAcentral describes it as "partial 16S ribosomal RNA". It matches the Rfam family "Bacterial small subunit ribosomal RNA", at positions 524 to 776 of the family's 1533-position model. The record is from RNAcentral.
UACGAAGGGGGCUAGCGUUGCCCGGAAUCACUGGGCGUAAAGCGCACGUAGGCGGCUUUGUAAGUUAGAGGUGAAAGCCCGGGGCUCAACUCCGGAACUGCCUUUAAGACUGCAUCGCUUGAAUCCAGGAGAGGUGAGUGGAAUUCCUGGUGUAGCGGUGAAAUGCGCAGAUAUCAGGAGGAACACCGAUGGCGAAGGCAGCUCGCUGGGACGGUACUGACGCUGAGGCGCGAAAGCGUGGGGAGCAAACAGG